GAUGAACGCUGGCGGCGUGCCUAACACAUGCAAGUCGAACGGAGUCCAGCCUUUAAGACCUUCGGGUCAAAGAGGGGAAGACUGAGUGGCGGACGGGCGAGUAACACGUGGGCAACCUGGCUCAUAGAGGGGGAUAACAGAGAGAAAUUUCUGCUAAUACCGCAUAAGCACACACUGCCGCAUGGCAGAGGGUGAAAAGAGAAUCGCUAUGAGAUGGACCCGCGUCUGAUUAGCCAGUUGGCAGGGUAAGAGCCUACCAAAGCGACGAUCAGUAGCCGAUCUGAGAGGAUGAACGGCCACAUUGGGACUGAGACACGGCCCAAACUCCUACGGGAGGCAGCAGUGGGGGAUAUUGCACAAUGGGGGGAACCCUGAUGCAGCGACGCCGCGUGAGUGAAGAAGUAUUUCGGUAUGUAAAGCUCUAUCAGCAGGGAAGAUAAUGACAGUACCUGAAGAAGAAGCCCCGGCUAACUACGUG
RNAcentral lists this ribosomal RNA (478 nucleotides) under uncultured bacterium. Its description in RNAcentral is "partial 16S ribosomal RNA". It matches the Rfam family "Bacterial small subunit ribosomal RNA", at positions 28 to 507 of the family's 1533-position model. The record is from RNAcentral.